RNAcentral lists this ribosomal RNA (253 nucleotides) under uncultured bacterium. RNAcentral's name for it is "partial 16S ribosomal RNA". It matches the Rfam family "Bacterial small subunit ribosomal RNA", at positions 524 to 776 of the family's 1533-position model. The record is from RNAcentral.
UACAGAGGGUGCGAGCGUUAAUCGGAAUUACUGGGCGUAAAGCGCACGUAGUCGGCUUUGCAAGUCGGUUGUGAAAUCCCCGGGCUCAACCUGGGAACUGCAUCCGAGACUGCAUUGCUAGAGUAUGGGAGAGGGAAGUGGAAUUUCCGGUGUAGCGGUGAAAUGCGUAGAUAUCGGAAGGAACAUCAGUGGCGAAAGCGACUUCCUGGACCAAUACUGACGCUCAUGUGCGAAAGCGUGGGGAGCAAACAGG